RNAcentral lists this unclassified non-coding RNA (339 nucleotides) under soil metagenome. Its description in RNAcentral is "partial contains 5.8S ribosomal RNA, internal transcribed spacer 2, and large subunit ribosomal RNA". The stretch from base 1 to 120 matches the Rfam family "5.8S ribosomal RNA", at positions 35 to 154 of the family's 154-position model. The record is from RNAcentral.
GAUGAAGAACGUAGCGAAAUGCGAUACGUAGUGUGAAUUGCAGAAUUCAGUGAAUCAUCGAAUCUUUGAACGCACAUUGCACCUCUCGGUAUUCCGGGAGGUAUGCCUGUUCGAGCGUCAUUUGUACCCUCAAGCUCUGCUUGGUGUUGGGUGUUUGUUCCGCCUCUGUGUGUGAACUCGCCUCAAAACAAUUGGCAGCCGGCGUACUUGUUUCGGAGCGCAGCACAUUUUGCGAUCAAGAUCAACGUACAGCGGCAUCCAAGAAGCCUUAUUUAACGCUCUUGACCUCGGAUCAGGUAGGGAUACCCGCUGAACUUAAGCAUAUCAAUAAGCGGAGGA